CAGAGCCCGCCAGCCGCUGAGCCGGGGCCACACCUGGGGGUGACUUCAUGCCUCACCUCCAGUAGGCUCCUGGCCUCUCUAGGCUGAUCUCUGGCUCCCGCGCACUAACUCUUGCUCUCGCCCAGCUACUCCCCGCCUCGCCCUGGCUGCCCAGGGCUGCCCACUAACAGCCAAGCUCGCCCACUGGGGGCUCUGGGCUCCCUGCCUGGCUCGGGCCGGCUCUUAAUUAACUUCCCUUCCCCCUGACUAACUCCUGCCUUCCGGUCUGUUCCUUUCAGCGGAAACUAAUGGCUUGUGGACUUCUUUCUGACUAACAGCAGGUGUAACAGUCCUGGUUACCACGACUAUUAACAGCUUGGUGGGCAGCAUGGCUGGG
This is an unclassified non-coding RNA of Cavia aperea (Brazilian guinea pig), 376 nucleotides long. The record is from Ensembl. NCBI's taxonomy places the organism in Eukaryota, Metazoa, Chordata, Mammalia, Rodentia, Caviidae.